GAUGAACGCUAGCGGGAGGCCUAACACAUGCAAGCCGAGCGGUAGAGUUUCUUCGGAAACUUGAGAGCGGCGCACGGGUGCGUAACACGUGUGCAACCUACCUUUAUCUGGGGGAUAGCCUUUCGAAAGGAAGAUUAAUACCCCAUAAUAUAAUGAUUGUCAUCAAUUAUUAUUGAAAACUCCGGUGGAUAGAGAUGGGCACGCGCAAGAUUAGAUAGUUGGUGAGGUAACGGCUCACCAAGUCAAUGAUCUUUAGGGGUCCUGAGAGGGAGAUCCACCAGACUUGUACUGAGACACGGACCAGACUGCUACGGGAGGCAGCAGUGAGGAAUAUUGGACAAUGAGUGAGAGCCUGAUCCAGCCAUCCCGCGUGAAGGAUGACGGUCCUAUGGAUUGUAAACUUCUUUUGUACAGGGAUAAACCUACCCUCGUGAGGGUAGCUGAAGGUACUGUACGAAUAAGCACCGGCUAACUCCGUG
RNAcentral lists this ribosomal RNA (479 nucleotides) under uncultured bacterium. Its description in RNAcentral is "partial 16S ribosomal RNA". It matches the Rfam family "Bacterial small subunit ribosomal RNA", at positions 28 to 507 of the family's 1533-position model. The record is from RNAcentral.